RNAcentral lists this long non-coding RNA (326 nucleotides) under Elaeis guineensis (African oil palm). Its description in RNAcentral is "long non-coding RNA (EGUI_LNC050186)". Lineage: Eukaryota; Viridiplantae; Streptophyta; Magnoliopsida; Arecales; Arecaceae. The record is from RNAcentral.
CUAACUCAGAGGUGCUUGCUGUGAAUGAGAGUCAAGGAAGACCUAGAAAAAAUAUUAGAGACAAGUCCAAGGGCAGAUCUAAGUCUCGGGACAAGCAGAAAGUAUGGAAGUGCUACAAGUAUCAUCAAGCUGGUCACCUAAAGAGGAAUUGUCCACUUCUGAAAAUAAGAAAGAGAAGGGCUUUUUCAAGGGUGGUUCGACCAGCAUGGGUGGUGCAAAUUCAUCUGAAGAUAGUAGGGAUGAUUUAGUGAUAGUUUCAGAUAGGACCAUGGAAUAUGACAGUCAUUGGACAUUGGAUUUAGCUUAUUCUCACAACUAUACCUCAC